UACACUAUUAAUAAUGAUAAAAAAAUACAAAGAAUAAAAUAACAAUCAAAACUGACAAAGAUGCAAGUGACUCCCUUGAAGUGGUUUAUGGAAUACUUACUGAACCAAAACUCAGGAACCCAAGGGCAGGUCUAGAUGAUACGGUAAUUGUAUGCUGAUAGCUUAGAGGAAGAUACUUGUAUGCUAUACUUGGAAAGCUACCAUCUAGACUCAGUCCUGAGUGAAUACUGAAAAUGAAUACAAUAUUCAGCUAGAUCUUUCGUGACAUCUCAAGGAAAAUAAUCUGGUUCAAACAACAAAGAUGAGAUGAGUAUUUAUGUAUUUGUACUGGAAAAGUAAAAGAUUCUAAAGAAUCGAAAAAUCAAUUCAUCCAUAUCCCAUGACUCAGCGUAAGUGCAAAUAUAUCUAGCAAAACAGUAAAAGAUAAUCUCCUAGAAAUGGCUGUGGAACAAAAAUGAUUAAAGAAUUUUUACUUCAAAUCUAGCAAAUCCUUCAUCUAUCAAGUUUCUAAAUCAAAUAUAAUGCGCCCUUAGCAUAUAAAUCAACUAACAGGGUGCAAUACGCAAUGGCUCACUCAUCCAUAUAGCACAAAGAAAAAGAUACUAGUUUAUACUAAUAUAUAAAUGCAGGCACUCUUUCUACAUUUUAAUACAACUCUCACUGCUAUUUUCCAAUACCUGAAAAUUUGCAGGCUGCACUUCAAUAAGUACGCUCAACAGAAAUAGUGGCAUUUGGCUCAACAAAAUAUCACAAACUAAUUCAAAAGUUAGAGUUGACCGGAUAUUCUCAAAGCAAAUAAGCCAAAAGGUAACACAAACUAUAAGGGAUCAAGGUACAAGUGCGCAAAAAAAAAAAAUAACGUGGAAUAGUGCUGCUAGACAGAGGACUGGAAACAGUCACAACUAGUUUAUGGAGUUUCUCACCUUGAGUCUUUUCCUGAAAGUCACAGAGGUCAUCAGUACCCAAAUUCUCUACAUAUUGUUUCCUAUAUCCUAUAAAAUAAAACUCUCAUAUCGAAAGAGAAAUCUCAUCUAUCAUCACAGCUUGAUGCAGAAACUUUGGGCUCCAAAAUAUAUAUAUAUAUAUAUAUAUCAUUCAAAUUAUCCCUAAAGACACUUAACAUAAAACCUCACACUCUACUUCUCCUAGUAAUCAUCAAUCAACUAAAUUGGCCUAAUCAAUGAAGCUAAUGUUUAUUAACUGUUUAUAAUCGGUCAAACCACAUUUUAUCCGUACAUUAUGAGACAUACAAGUACAAUUCACUUAUACACCACUAAUUUCUAUCUGUUUAUAACUUUUAAACCGUUUAUAAAUACUUCCCAAACAUGCCCUUAACUUCAAUUUAUAAACUAUAUGUCACAUAGUCAUUUGUGAACCACUUAAAUUCCAGAGGUCAAUUGCAUUUCCAUCUUCCAUUCCACGAUCUUAUUUUAUAUAGCUUGUAAAUAAAACAAGAAUUCAGCGUUUGAAAAAUUCCGGGAAAAGGUUAGGAAGCUACAGCUGCAACCUGGAACUAAAUGAGCAGUCUCAAACAAGAGCCACCGAAGAAUGAUAUCAUUCACGAUAUUGACACGUCUUAAACAGUUUCAACUACCACUAAACAACCUCCCAUUUGUGAAGAGAACAAAUAUAAGAGAAAAAGUACAUAUGUAAAUUGAUGACUUCAUGAUAAUAUUCAGAGGACUGAAAACAAAUCAAAACUUAAGAAACACCUUAAAGAAUUGUAAACCAUCUCGGAAAAGUUGCAGAAACCGCAUAAAUUUGUCCCGAACUUUCUCAUAAAUUCGAUCCACCACCCGUCCAGGUAUCUAAAAUAACGUGUUAUUUUACACCUAAAAAGACAUUCCAGAUCGACCCAUUUUCAAUGUGCGCAACAAAUGCUUAAUUCCUGAAUCACAAAUGACAAUUUAAAAAGAAAAGCAAAACAAUGAAUCGGAAAACUUUUAACAACCACGAGACUAACAUCCAAAUGAAACAGCCUUAUCAUUUUCAGCAGCGUCCGUUAAAAAUAUCCCAAAAAAUGAGACUGAAUCCCAAUAAAAAGCUAUCAAAUUUCACCCGGACCCAUCAAAAAUUAGAACAAUCUUGUAUUGCCACACAAAAAGACAUUCAAGAGCUGACCCAUUUUCAAAUGUCACAAUUCAGAAAUGCAAAUAGAUAAGAUAAUAAGAUGUAAAGAAACAUGCCUGUAAGCGCUUAAUCGAACUGCAAAAACAUUCACUCAAAAUAUUCUUUAGUAAAUUCUGCCUGUGUGUAAAUUUUCGUGAGAGAUUAAUCAUGUACAGUUAUACAUAUAUAGAGGAAAGCGAGAGAGAAAGAAAGAGUUUUUAAGAGUUGAAUAAAGUGGAUUUUGGAGGGGAGAAAGAAUUUCUUGGAGUGAAGAAACUGCAAACAAUUUGUGGAGUGAAAUUGAAAAUGUAAAUCAAC
Molecule: long non-coding RNA, 2427 nt
Filed under: Olea europaea (common olive)
Lineage: Eukaryota; Viridiplantae; Streptophyta; Magnoliopsida; Lamiales; Oleaceae
Description: long non-coding RNA (OEUR_LNC014317)
Source: RNAcentral